AAUGGAAUGGCUGGUUUAUAUGGUAGGUGUAUCUUAAUUUUUCAAGAACCUGCCAAAUUAUUUUCCAAAACGGUUUUACUAUUUACCAUUUUCACAAGUAAU
RNAcentral lists this microRNA precursor (102 nucleotides) under Marmota monax (woodchuck). Lineage: Eukaryota; Metazoa; Chordata; Mammalia; Rodentia; Sciuridae. The record is from RNAcentral.